ACGGGUGAGUAAUAUAUGUGAGCGUGCCCUACAGUGGGGGAUAACUAAUCGAAGGACUAGCUAAUACCGCAUACGAUCUACGGAUGAAACUGGGGGAUCGCCCGACCUCCCGCUCCUGGAGCGACCGAUAUCUGAUUAACUAGUUGGUGGGGUAAAAACCUACCCAGGCAACCAUCAAUACCUGGUCUGACAGGACGACCAACCACCCUGGGACUGACACACAGCCCAUACUCCUACCGGAGGCAGCAAUGGGGAAUUUUGGACGAUGGGGGCAACCCUGAUCCAUCAAUGCCUCGUGAGUGAAUAAAGACUUCCGGUUGUAUAGCUCUUUUGUCCGGGAAGAAACAGUGGUGGCGAAUAACUACUACUAAUGACUGUACCUGAAGAAUAAACACCGGCUAACUACGUGCCAGCCGCCGCGGUAAUACAUACGGUGCAAGCGUUAAUCGGAAUUACUGGGCGUAAAUCGUGCGCAGGCGGUUGUGUAGUUCAGAUGUAAAAUCCCCGGGCUCAACCUGGGAAUUGCCUUUGAUACUGCACGGCUAG
This 546-nucleotide ribosomal RNA is filed under the name uncultured Burkholderiales bacterium. Its description in RNAcentral is "bacterial SSU rRNA". It matches the Rfam family "Bacterial small subunit ribosomal RNA", at positions 102 to 644 of the family's 1533-position model. The record is from RNAcentral. Lineage: Bacteria; Pseudomonadati; Pseudomonadota; Betaproteobacteria; Burkholderiales.